AGUGAACGCUGGCGGUAGGCCUAACACAUGCAAGUCGAACGGCAGCACAGUAAGAGCUUGCUCUUACGGGUGGCGAGUGGCGGACGGGUGAGGAAUACGUCGGAAUCUACUUUUUCGUGGGGGAUAACGUAGGGAAACUUACGCUAAUACCGCAUACGACCUACGGGUGAAAGCAGGGGAUCUUCGGACCUUGCGCGAUUGAAUGAGCCGAUGUCGGAUUAGCUAGUUGGCGGGGUAAAGGCCCACCAAGGCGACGAUCCGUAGCUGGUCUGAGAGGAUGAUCAGCCACACUGGAACUGAGGCACGGUCCAGACUCCUACGGGAGGCAGCAGUGGGGAAUAUUGGACAAUGGGCGCAAGCCUGAUCCAGCCAUACCGCGUGGGUGAAGAAGGCCUUCGGGUUGUAAAGCCCUUUUGUUGGGAAAGAAAAGCAGCAGGUUAAUACCCCGCUGUUCUGACGGUACCCAAAGAAUAAGCACCGGCUAACUUCGUG
This 492-nucleotide ribosomal RNA is filed under the name uncultured bacterium. RNAcentral's name for it is "partial 16S ribosomal RNA". It matches the Rfam family "Bacterial small subunit ribosomal RNA", at positions 29 to 507 of the family's 1533-position model. The record is from RNAcentral.